AGUGUAGCUCAGUGGUAAAGCACUUGUCUGGCAUGUGAGAAGACCUGGGUUUGAUUCUCAGCACU
Molecule: transfer RNA, 65 nt
Filed under: Urocitellus parryii (Arctic ground squirrel)
Lineage: Eukaryota; Metazoa; Chordata; Mammalia; Rodentia; Sciuridae
Also listed under: 1 other name
Description: Spermophilus parryii (Arctic ground squirrel) tRNA
Rfam family: tRNA
About the family: Transfer RNA (tRNA) molecules are approximately 80 nucleotides in length. Their secondary structure includes four short double-helical elements and three loops (D, anti-codon, and T loops).
Source: Rfam by way of RNAcentral